AUCCAUAGGACCAUAGUGGAUAAAUGUGCCUUUGAUUCAAACAAACGCACAUAAAUACAUAAGACAGUUAUAUCAUAUAAAAACAUUAUAAUAACGUGUAUCCUAACUGGGGUGACCCUUUUGAGCCAAGGGUUUAGGCCUAAUGAAUUUUGAAGAAAAUAUAUGCCCUUUUAAAGCCAGUCCAUUAUCCCUCAAAAAACUUCAUAGGUAUACAUAAAUGACAUAUAUGCCUACAAAAGUUACAAAAAAGGGAUACAAUCUUUAGGGAUAGGGGAAAAAAUAACAUGAGAAAAAGAAUAAUAUCCCACACAAGGGAUAGUAAAUAUUAGUUCUUGAAUGCUUUUCUAUCAGCUUUCGUCCUCUGAACUUUGUCCAUUUCUUGUCAUUGGCGAUAUCCGUUGAUGAUCAAGCAAUUUUUGUAUAUCUGUGCUCUAAAUACAACCAUCCAAAUGGAUCCAUUUCUUUCUUGGCUUGCUUCAAUUCCUUAUUCGAUUGGUGUGUGAUUGAGGCAUCUUUACAUGAAGUAAGCAAAGAAAGCCUUCUCCUGACCCCCAAAGGAUAAUGGACUGUAUUAAAUAAACAUAUAUUUCUUCAACACUUAAUGAUUCAUCUGUAAUUGACUCGGGAUCAAUAGAUGCAGGGUAAGUUUGCUAAUGGGCCCAAUACCCCCUCGAAUAUUGGGUCAUCCUAGGCUCAUACCUAAACUAGGGUUUUAAUUUUUCUCUAUCCCAGAUGUCUAGAGUGGGUUUGAACCAGGUUCUAAAGGGGACGACUUGAGUUUGAAAAUAUAAACAACCAUCAAAUGACUCACGUGCUAAUAAACCGUCGUAUUUUCAACACUUUAUUUAGAGUUGAACAACAGGGGCCGGGACAUCAACAAAACCCCAAAACAAUUUAAUAAAUUAAUGCAAGAUUAUGCUAUGAUAUGCAAUAAUUAAAUUCCACAAAAUUGAAACAUAUAAACAUGUAUGUAAUUUAAACAUUAAGUCAAAAAGAUAAAAUCAAACAUUUGGUUAUAACCUAAUUAAAAUUCCCCGCAGAGUCACCAUUUUUGUUUGCGAAAAUUUUGACUUUUGAAGAGUCGCCACUUAAUUUUGAAAAGAAAUUAAAAAACCUUUAUAAGAUACUUUAAACGAUCCAAAAAAGAUAAAUCAUUAAAAAUUUGAAGAUUCUGAGUAAGCGAUUUCUAUUAACGUUUUACGAAGGCUUAAGGCACCUAAAACGUCCGCUAACUUGCGGUUAUCUGGACUAUUUGAAAACAUCUUUUGAAUAACUUCUAAAAGAUUGAUUUGUUGAAAAGUGAUUAAUAUUUUUGGAAAGGACUUGUGUAAAAUAUCUUUGGACGACUUAGCAGGGAUUUUAACUAAGUCUAAACAAGCUAAUAAGCAAAUAAACACAUAAAAGGGGAAAGGAAGGAUGAAGUAAAAGACUUAGGCCAUUGGACUCAAAUCAACGAAACCUGUCCUAAUCUAUGUUUUCGAUCCUUUUUUACACAAAAUCCGCUUCACCUAUAUUAAAUUUACAACUUUGGAUUCGAGGCCCAAAAUGAAUAAAUAAAUAAUUGAUUGAAUGAAAAUAAGUAAAUGAAGGAAACACUGAAAGUAAAAAUAAUGAGACUUUCAAGUCUCCUUUGCCGCUUCAAAGAUAGGCCUUUAACCCCUUCUUCUUCUUUAAUCUCCCCGUAUUCAUGCACUAGACCCAAUUGCCAUAUUUCAUAGCUUAUAUAAAGUGUUUUCAACACACUACACAAAAAAAACUGCAGAGAGAAUCUAAGCGAAAGAAAAUCAACAAUUGCAAAUGCCUACACAGUUUAGCAAGAUUUUGAAGAAAACUAAAAUGCAUCAUUUGAAUAACAUCUUUACAAUGAAGGAGUCAAGAAAAGCCAAAAUUCUGAACUCUAGUAUCCGAAAAACAUCGCAUACUUAAUAGGCAAAAUAAAUUAUAACAUUUUUCAUUUUUAGAUAAAAUCGAAUCGUGACGGCGAGGAGGGUAAAACUAACCAGAACAAGAGAAAGAAAACAACUUAGUGAGAGGGAUGCAAAAAGAAGGAACAUGAACAAGAUACAAGGAUUAAACAUUUUUGCCAAAUCAUGGCUUCUAAAAAAAAUCGAUAAAGUAAGAUCCUAAUCAAUUCAUCAACAGUAUGCAUACAAUUGCACAGUCUGGCAGUAAUUGUAUUUAAAACAUACAAGACUGGAAACAAAGACAAGUUAAAACCUUUGUAAACUCAAGAAUGUACAUAUGCACAACUUUCUUGGCAUAACGACGGCAAUGACUAUAACAAAGUACUCAAUUGCGGAUAAAAUGGAAAUGACAAAAGAAAAAAUAAAAUCACAUUUUUGAAGAAAACCAAUAAAACAAAGGUCGUGGGAAAACAAAAUUAACAAUUUGCCUCCAAGUUUGAUUUUUCAAAAUCAUGACUCUAAAUAUAACCCCACUACAAAUUGCUCGACAAACAAACGCAUAUUAACAAGUUAGCACCCUUUUUUUCUUUUUUUUCUUUUUGAAUAAGGGAGUCAACACUCCUAACAUCUAUAUCAGCGUAGCAAUUAGCAGUUGAAGAUUCACACACAACGAAUAUGGAAUUUCAAGAAUAGACAAAAACAAAACAAAGAAAGGAUCUUUUUAGAGAAACACUACCAACACAAAGCAAUAUUAAGAGUACAUACAUAUUCAUAACUAUAUGUAAAUUAUAUAAAAAAAAAUAGCUAAGGAUUUUCAACAGAGAAUCAAAAUAGUGAACUUUUACGAAAAGAGCAAAAACUAAAACAUAAGACUAACAAUGAAUCAACAUGUUAAAAGCACCAUCUUCAUCACCUAAUCCUUCGUCGCUCCCAGCAAGCAACAUCAUCGAAACAACUACAGAAUAGAGAAACGAAGCAGAGAUACUCAAAACUAAAUGGAAUAGAAUGUUACCUGUUUCAGAGUAACAAAACGGGAUUUGAGUUGUCGUCGAAAUCUCCCCUCCACCACCAAAAGACUUCUAUGACUCCGAGAACACCUCGACUUUCUCAUGAUGAGAAUUUUUUUACUAAAAAAAUGAUGUUUUGCUGGAAAGUUUUUCACCUCCUAGACUUGGUAUUUUUCAGCUCAGUCCUCCCUUUUAUAGAAGAAAUAUUUUAGGUUCAAAUUUAUGCUGCAACCGAUGUGGGAAAAUGGGAUUGAAGGGUAAUUUCGAAAAUUUAAGGGAAUCACCUUAUGAGCUGGACACCAUCUAUCUCAAAAUUGUUUUGUAUGAAUUUCAAAUUUUGAAAUUUAAACGAGGGUAGGGUGUCAAUAUCGGGUUAAAAAUGUCGGGUUGCUGAUGGGUCUAUCGGGUUGGUGCUAGUUUCGGGUCAAAACUGUCGGGUUAGUUAAGGGUCAAAUCUCGGGUUAUCACUGAUCACUGUUUGUGCAUCGUAUUUUGUUGCUGAUGUUAUGCUGUUUUUGUGUCAUUGAAUUGCUGCAAGAUUGUUAAAGAAGAAAUACAAAGGGUCGGGUCAAGAUUGUAUUGGGCCGAGCUGAUAUUGUUUGAGGUAGGCUGCUAAUAUGUUAUUGGGUCAAGGGUAAAAGGGAAGGAAACUGGGCUGGUUUGGGCUGGUAGCUGUUGUUUGAAUUGGGUUGGGGUUAUCUU
Molecule: long non-coding RNA, 3613 nt
Filed under: Capsicum annuum
Lineage: Eukaryota; Viridiplantae; Streptophyta; Magnoliopsida; Solanales; Solanaceae
Description: long non-coding RNA (CANN_LNC017787)
Source: RNAcentral